UCCCGUUCAGAGAGUUCAGUUAGAAGAGGCUUAGCUGAAAAGUGAAAUUACUGGAAAAAAAUUUGGUAAUGUUUUACCUCCAACUGGGAAGUUUUGUGAGACCUCAAACAUCCACUGAGUGCCACGAGGUGUCUCAGCUCUGUAACUCCCAUGCUUAGGGGGGAGGAGAUGGCAGCCUUAGCACCGUGCUGCUGCGGCCAGCCCGAGAGCAGCCUCCACGCUGUGAGAGGGAGUGGGAAACAAGGUCCCAGGGCAGGACUCCAGCUCCCUUAUUUGAUGUACAGCCAACUUUGCUUGACUCGCGCCAGCCUGUGUGGAGAUGAAGACAUGCAGAAAGGCCGUAUCUGCAUCCUGGUGCGCAGCAAGAGGAUGGCGGAGGGCUGGAGGGGGCUCUCCAUUGCCAGAGCCACUGCUGGACAUGGCUCACCCGGGGCUGCUCCUUGGGAGCUGUGGGAAGCCCAUGCACUGGGCUACGGCCCAUCAGGCCUAAUGGCAGAGCUGAAGAGCAGGCUGGGCUGUGUGGUGAGAAAGGGAGGACGCCCGGUGGCAGGAGCUAUUGAUUUUCUGAGUGGGUACAUGGAAUAACCAACUUGUGCUUCAGUUGCAGGCCAGGUUCAGCAAGAGCUUCAAAACCCCCGUUCGAGCUCGGGUCAGGUAGGAGUCCAGGUGCCUCCCCUCCCUCGCAGGAGGCGCCUGGCCCAGCCGGCCCGUCCGCGACGGGGCAGGAGCCGCAGGCCCUUGGGGUGACGGGCUGCCGGGGCCCCUCUGGCCUCAAGCUCUGCCCGGCGCCCACCUCAGCGUGGGGAAGGCCGAGGCCCCUGGCAGCCCCGAGGCGAGGUGCCGGCGGAGUGCAGGCCGCAGCCCGCUCAGCCGCCCGCCCUCCGCCGCCGGCUCCCCGGGCAGGAAGCGGCUACCGCUUCCGGGUCGGCAGCCCGGCAGCGGCGGGGCCCGGGCCGCCCCUCGAUAUGGAUAAAGUGAAGGAUGAAAAAAGUAGGAAGCUCUGUGCAACUUCACAAGAAGAUCUGAGAGGCCGAGGAAAUGAAAAAAGGAAACGAAAACGCAGUAGAAGCAGAUCAUCAUCCGUUACAUCCACAUCGUCUUCUAGUGCUACAUCCACUUCUUCUUCCUCAUCACGCUCAUCAUCAAGGUCAUCUUCUUCAAGUAGCAGAGAUUCUCCUAAGUCUAAAUCAAAGAAAAAGAAAAAAGAAAAACACAAUAAAAAGAAAAGGAAAAAGGAGAACAAAAUGAAGAAAAAGAAAGAAAAGAAGAAAAAGAAAGAGAAAACAGGACCUGUCCAGCUUUCCAAGUUCUUUAAAAACAAAAAGAAAAAUGAAAACUACAGCAUGAUAACUGGAAAGAAAAUUAAGAUGAAAAUAAAGAAGACUAAGAAGGAUAAAGAGAGAGACCGGAACCGUGCAGAACUCCUUGAAUUUCUGAACUCUGCCUUAUAAUGGGAAGAGUGCUAACCAAGGACUUGUAAAUAUACCAAGCCAACGAUCAUCAUGCCUAGCAAAACACUAAAGGGAAACUCAGGGAAAAGGACACCAAGUUUGACAAGACCAGACUUUCCCGCUGUGAAGACAAUCGGGAUGUCCUUUUUUAAUGGCAAAACGAAGAGUAACUGAUAACUUGCUAAUGAAGAUCCAUGUCCUCCUUUUGAGAUCCUGAGGUAAUAGCCAGGCUGUGGUGUUGUAGAAGAGCCUAAGAGUGUGUCAUUGCCAAUGAUAAGAACUGACACACUGAAGUCCAAUAAUGUAAUUUCUAUCCUAACUGCAUGCAGAACGCACUCUUAAUUUCAAUUGUCUUAAUGUUUCUAGUAGUUCAAACAGAGUAUUUGUAAAUGUCUAUUUGAAAGAUGAGUCAUUUCUAUAUGAAUAUUUUUUCCAGUAGUGGUUUUACUUGUCCUAAAGAGCAAGUUGACCUUUGUAAAUAGAACAUGCUUUUACAUAAAUGAUUUUUUGACGGUUCAUUCAUUAAUAUAUUCUUUUCUUUCAGAGUUUGAGAUAUCAUAGAAUGGUUUGGUUUGGAAGGGACCCUAAAGAUGAUCUAGGUCCAGCCUCCCUGCCCUGGGCAGGAACACCUCCCACUAGACCAGGUUGCUCAAAGCCCCAUCCAGUCUGGUCUUGAGCGCUUCCAGGGAUGGGGCAUCCACCACUUCCCUGGGCAACCUGUUCCAGCGUCUCACCACCCUCACAGUAAAGAAUUUCUUCCUAAUAGUUAAUCUAAAUUUCCCCUCUUUCAGUUUAGAACUGUUACUCUUCAUCCUAUCACUAUAUUGCCUGACAAAGAGUCCCUCCCCAUAUCUCCUAUAGGCUCCCUUUAGGUACUGGAAGGCUGCUAUAAGGUGAUCUUUCUCUGGAAAGUUUAUUUCCCUCUCUCACUAGAAGGUGUAACAAUAAAAUACUCUAGAGCAAUAAUGGAAGCUGAAUG
Molecule: long non-coding RNA, 2430 nt
Organism: Calidris pygmaea (Spoon-billed sandpiper)
Lineage: Eukaryota; Metazoa; Chordata; Aves; Charadriiformes; Scolopacidae
Source: Ensembl